This 250-nucleotide ribosomal RNA is filed under the name uncultured bacterium. RNAcentral's name for it is "partial 16S ribosomal RNA". It matches the Rfam family "Bacterial small subunit ribosomal RNA", at positions 524 to 773 of the family's 1533-position model. The record is from RNAcentral.
UACAGAGGGUGCGAGCGUUGUCCGGAAUCACUGGGCGUAAAGGGCGCGUAGGUGGCGCGGGCAGUCGAUGGUGAAAGCUCGGGGCUCAACCCCGAGUCGGCCGUCGAUACUCCCGGGCUUGAGCACUGUAGAGGCAGAUGGAAUUCCGGGUGUAGCGGUGGAAUGCGUAGAGAUCCGGAAGAACACCGGUGGCGAAGGCGGUCUGCUGGGCAGUAGCUGACACUGAGGCGCGACAGCGUGGGGAGCAAAC